This 107-nucleotide ribosomal RNA is filed under the name Caerostris darwini. The record is from RNAcentral. Lineage: Eukaryota; Metazoa; Arthropoda; Arachnida; Araneae; Araneidae.
ACGGCCGUACCAUGCUGAAUAUACCGGUUCUCGUUAGAUCACCGAAGUCAAGCAACAUUGGGCGCGCUCAUUGGGUGGGUGACCCCCUGGGAACACCGCGUGCCGUU